AAUGAACGUUGGCGGCGUGGAUUAGGCAUGCAAGUCGUGCGCGAAUCGUAGCAAUACGAGGAGAGCGGCGAAAGGGAGAGGAUAGCAUAGAUACCUACCCUCGGACCUGGGAUAGCUAUGGGAAACUAUAGGUAAUACCAGAUAAUGUCUCCGGACCAAAGGUGUGAUUCUGUCCGGGGAGGGGUCUAUGUCCUAUUAGCUUGUUGGUGAGGUAACGGCUCACCAAGGCAAAGAUGGGUACGAGGCGUGAGAGCGUGUCCUCGCUCACUGGGACUGAGACACUGCCCAGACACCUACGGGUGGCUGCAGGCGAGAAUCUUCGGCAAUGGGCGCAAGCCUGACCGAGCGACGCCGCGUGUGGGAUGAAGGCCUUCGGGUUGUAAACCACUGUCAGUGCGGAGGAAAUAUAGUGGGGUUCUCCCCAUUAUUUGACCUAUGCGCAGAGGAAGGACGGGCUAAGUUCGUGCCAGCAGCCGCGGUAA
This 482-nucleotide ribosomal RNA is filed under the name uncultured bacterium. RNAcentral's name for it is "partial 16S ribosomal RNA". It matches the Rfam family "Bacterial small subunit ribosomal RNA", at positions 29 to 523 of the family's 1533-position model. The record is from RNAcentral.